AUUGAACGCUGGCGGAAUGCUUUACACAUGCAAGUCGAACGGCAGCACGGACUUCGGUCUGGUGGCGAGUGGCGAACGGGUGAGUAAUGUAUCGGAACGUGCCCAGUCGUGGGGGAUAACGUAGCGAAAGCUACGCUAAUACCGCAUACGAUCUACGGAUGAAAGCGGGGGAUCGCAAGACCUCGCGCGAUUGGAGCGGCCGAUAUCAGAUUAGGUUGUUGGUGAGGUAAAAGCUCACCAAGCCUGCGAUCUGUAGCGGGUCAGAGAGGACGACCAGCAACACUGGAACUGAGACACGGCCCAGACUCCUACGGGAGGCAGCAGUGGGGAAUUUUGGACAAUGGACGCAAGUCUGAUCCAGCAAUGCCGCGUGCAGGACGAAGGCCUUCGGGUUGUAAACUGCUUUUGUACGGAACGAAACGGUGAGCUCUAAUACAGUUUGCUAAUGACGGUACCGUAAGAAUAAGCACCGGCUAACUACGUGCCAGCCGCCGCCGUAA
RNAcentral lists this ribosomal RNA (500 nucleotides) under uncultured bacterium. RNAcentral's name for it is "partial 16S ribosomal RNA". It matches the Rfam family "Bacterial small subunit ribosomal RNA", at positions 30 to 523 of the family's 1533-position model. The record is from RNAcentral.